AAUGAUACUUUCGCCAAAUGGCGGCCCGCUGGGAUGCGGGAUGAUACCGGUGCAGGUUGGAAACUGAUACCUGCUGCUGGGUCAU
RNAcentral lists this small RNA (85 nucleotides) under unclassified sequences. RNAcentral describes it as "dinG RNA". It matches the Rfam family "dinG RNA". The record is from Rfam by way of RNAcentral.